This 23-nucleotide non-coding RNA is filed under the name Cricetulus griseus (Chinese hamster). The record is from RNAcentral. Lineage: Eukaryota; Metazoa; Chordata; Mammalia; Rodentia; Cricetidae.
GUAGAUGUGUUAGACCAAAUGGG